This 1704-nucleotide long non-coding RNA is filed under the name Homo sapiens (human). RNAcentral's name for it is "HSALNT0362401". The record is from RNAcentral. Lineage: Eukaryota; Metazoa; Chordata; Mammalia; Primates; Hominidae.
CUAAAGGCUACCGUCUCAGCUUUGCAGGUGUAUUAUGAGAUUGGCUGGCAGCUAUUUCUGAUCAAGUUCUGCAGCUGGCAGGAAAGCAGAGGUGCCACGAAGAUCUGUGUGCUAGUCCUCUUUGUUUCUACCUGACUCACCAGGCAGUCAAGCCAUGUUGAUUUUACCACUGUUCCCUGGGAAGUCAGUCCUGACUGGGCUAUCUGAGAAUGCUAGGGAAGCUGGAUUCAGUUUUUGUUUUUCUUUCUCUCUAAAAAAAUAAAACUGAGUUAAGGAAAACUCUCUCUGUCUGGCACCAUGCCUGCUUGUUUGGAGUGAGACCAUUCCUCCUACCCUUUGAAAUUCAGAUUGUGUUUCAUUCUGCUUGCCAUAUGAGUAUCUCAGGAUUAUUUCCAGAUGUUGGAGUUUUUAAAAGGAUGUUCUAUUCUAUGGAUAGUUACUAGUUGUUGGUGAGUUGGGCCCAAGACUUCUUACUCUAGAAUCUUGCUGAUGGCACUCCCAUAGAAGAAGUCAUUUUAUUUACACAAGCACAUUACAUGAAACCAUUGGUGGAUGAGAUCAAAAUGUGAUCUGAAUGUACCAAGUAAUACAAAAGCUGAUAUGAACCUGAAUUCUUCCCAAAGGAAGAAAACUGCAAAUGCCAGAGCCCCAAUUUAGGUCUAUAUUUUUUUCUAAUUUGUCCACCAACAUUUCUCCAAAAAUGAAGAUGUUCUCAUUUUCUCCACAUCCUUCUCAUUAUCUACUUGCAGCUCUCCAAUGAUUAUUAUUAUACUAACCUGUUCAUGGAAAUGCUUUCAUCUAUUUUUUUCUAAUGGAAGCAUACUCACAUUUUUCCAUUUAUUUUUUUCCACUUUCAUCCAAGACAUAAGUUAUCCACCCUCUCCCACAUUCCAUUUUCAAUAUUUGACCUUAAAUAUCUCCACUUGUCAAGAUGACUGACAGCUAACACUAAGACAUCAGGUGCAAUACUGAAAUUUUUUUCUUAAGAAAAAGAUCUGGAAAAAUCUUACUAUACCUUUGAAUAUUUCUGUGUCUUUGAAUAUUCUUUGCCUUAACUCCCUGCAGGACUAGAAACUCCUAACUCUCCAAAUUUCCAUAUAAAAUGUGCAUUCUCAAGAUUGUGAACAUUAAGCAGAAUAUAUACUUUAUAAUUUGACCUCUGUUAUUUAGGGAAGUGUUCACAUUUUUAAAUAUGUAAAAUCAAGUGGAAAUGUGAAUGCAAGUCUAUACCAACACUAAUAAAAUAUUUCUUAUUCUCAAUACAAAAUUUCUCAACUUUUUUUCUGGAAACUGUUCUUUGGAAACCUUACCCUAAGCCCUCAAUCCUUUUUUUUUUUUUUUGAAAAAAAAUUUAAUACAAGACCAAAAAAAUUUAAUACAAGACCCUGGCUUCACUUAAAGUUACUUAAUGCCAGGAAAAUAAUGGAAUGCCUUUGUUGUUCCAAACUUUCUACAUAAGGAAAGUAUAAAAUGCAUCUUGUGUUUCCUACCUAAUUGAAAGGUGCUUUUGAAAUUAACUCUUGACAAUUAAAACUUUUAAACUUUAAUAUUCAGAAUUAAAAAAUAAGAAUAUAGUGACAUGUAAACUCAUUGUUCAUAGAAUGGUAAAUUAAUUGUAACUGACCCAAACCAAUAACAUAUAUCUAACAAACUGAACAAUAUUAGCAGCUGAGUUAAAUCAAAUGUAAAAUGUUUUUCUUUAAA